This 800-nucleotide ribosomal RNA is filed under the name Enterococcus faecium. Its description in RNAcentral is "bacterial SSU rRNA". It matches the Rfam family "Bacterial small subunit ribosomal RNA", at positions 59 to 831 of the family's 1533-position model. The record is from RNAcentral. Lineage: Bacteria; Bacillati; Bacillota; Bacilli; Lactobacillales; Enterococcaceae.
CAGUCGACGCUUCUUUUUCCACCGGAGCUUGCUCCACCGGAAAAAGAGGAGUGGCGAACGGGUGAGUAACACGUGGGUAACCUGCCCAUCAGAAGGGGAUAACACUUGGAAACAGGUGCUAAUACCGUAUAACAAUCAAAACCGCAUGGUUUUGAUUUGAAAGGCGCUUUCGGGUGUCGCUGAUGGAUGGACCCGCGGUGCAUUAGCUAGUUGGUGAGGUAACGGCUCACCAAGGCCACGAUGCAUAGCCGACCUGAGAGGGUGAUCGGCCACAUUGGGACUGAGACACGGCCCAAACUCCUACGGGAGGCAGCAGUAGGGAAUCUUCGGCAAUGGACGAAAGUCUGACCGAGCAACGCCGCGUGAGUGAAGAAGGUUUUCGGAUCGUAAAACUCUGUUGUUAGAGAAGAACAAGGAUGAGAGUAACUGUUCAUCCCUUGACGGUAUCUAACCAGAAAGCCACGGCUAACUACGUGCCAGCAGCCGCGGUAAUACGUAGGUGGCAAGCGUUGUCCGGAUUUAUUGGGCGUAAAGCGAGCGCAGGCGGUUUCUUAAGUCUGAUGUGAAAGCCCCCGGCUCAACCGGGGAGGGUCAUUGGAAACUGGGAGACUUGAGUGCAGAAGAGGAGAGUGGAAUUCCAUGUGUAGCGGUGAAAUGCGUAGAUAUAUGGAGGAACACCAGUGGCGAAGGCGGCUCUCUGGUCUGUAACUGACGCUGAGGCUCGAAAGCGUGGGGAGCAAACAGGAUUAGAUACCCUGGUAGUCCACGCCGUAAACGAUGAGUGCUAAGUGUUGGAGGGU